CCUACGGGAGGCAGCAGUGGGGAAUAUUGGGCAAUGGACGCAAGUCUGACCCAGCAACGCCGCGUGAAGGAAGAAGGCUUUCGGGUUGUAAACUUCUUUUAAGGGGGAAGAGCAGAAGACGGUACCCCUUGAAUAAGCCACGGCUAACUACGUGCCAGCAGCCGCGGUAAUACGUAGGUGGCAAGCGUUGUCCGGAUUUACUGGGUGGAAAGGGCGUGCAGCCGGAGAGACAAGUCAGAUGUGAAAUCCACGGGCUCAACCCGUGAACUGCAUUUGAAACUGUUUCCCUUGAGUGUCGGAGAGGUAAUCGGAAUUCCUUGUGUAGCGGUGAAAUGCUUAGAUAUAAGGAAGAACACCAGUGGCGAAGGCGGAUUACUGGACGAUAACUGACGGUGAGGCGCGAAAGCGUGGGGAGCAAACAGGAUUAGAUACCCCAGUAGUC
This 442-nucleotide ribosomal RNA is filed under the name uncultured bacterium. Its description in RNAcentral is "partial 16S ribosomal RNA". It matches the Rfam family "Bacterial small subunit ribosomal RNA", at positions 338 to 795 of the family's 1533-position model. The record is from RNAcentral.